UACGUAGGGGGCAAGCGUUGUCCGGAAUCAUUGGGCGUAAAGAGCGUGUAGGCGGCCAGAUAAGUCCGCUGUGAAAUCUCGAGGCUCAACUUCGAGCUGUCGGUGGAAACUGUCUGGCUAGAGUCCGGAAGAGGAGAAUGGAAUUCCUGGUGUAGCGGUGGAAUGCGCAGAUAUCAGGAGGAACACCGAUGGCGAAGGCAGCUCGCUGGGACGGUACUGACGCUGAGGCGCGAAAGCGUGGGGAGCAAACAGG
Molecule: ribosomal RNA, 253 nt
Filed under: uncultured bacterium
Lineage: Bacteria
Description: partial 16S ribosomal RNA
Rfam family: Bacterial small subunit ribosomal RNA
Source: RNAcentral